RNAcentral lists this ribosomal RNA (556 nucleotides) under uncultured bacterium. Its description in RNAcentral is "partial 16S ribosomal RNA". It matches the Rfam family "Bacterial small subunit ribosomal RNA", at positions 355 to 902 of the family's 1533-position model. The record is from RNAcentral.
UGGGGAAUUUUGGACAAUGGGCGAAAGCCUGAUCCAGCAAUGCCGCGUGUGUGAAGAAGGCCUUCGGGUUGUAAAGCACUUUUGUCCGGAAAGAAAUCCUUGGCUCUAAUACAGUCGGGGGAUGACGGUACCGGAAGAAUAAGCACCGGCUAACUACGUGCCAGCAGCCGCGGUAAUACGUAGGGUGCAAGCGUUAAUCGGAAUUACUGGGCGUAAAGCGUGCGCAGGCGGUUUGCUAAGACCGAUGUGAAAUCCCCGGGCUCAACCUGGGAACUGCAUUGGUGACUGGGCAGGCUAGAGUAUGGCAGGAGGGGGGUAGAAUUCCACGUGUAGCAGUGAAAUGCGUAGAGAUGUGGAGGAAUACCGAUGGCGAAGGCAGCCCCCUGGGCCAAUACUGACGCUCAUGCACGAAAGCGUGGGGAGCAAACAGGAUUAGAUACCCUGGUAGUCCACGCCCUAAACGAUGUCAACUAGUUGUUGGGGAUUCAUUUCCUUAGUAACGUAGCUAACGCGUGAAGUUGACCGCCUGGGGAGUACGGUCGCAAGAUUAAAACUC